GGACGAACGCUGGCGGCGUGCCUAAUGAAUGCGAGUCGAACGGAACAUAGAGAUCGUGAUUGCUUUCGGGCGGUCACCCUUUAUGUUUAGUGGCAAACGGGUGAGUAACACGUGGAUAACGUGCCUUCAAGCCGAGGAUAACAGGGCGAAAGUCCUGCUAAUACUCGAUGGUCUGCCCCUGCUUUGGCGGGGACCAGUAAAGCUCCGGCGCUUGGAGAUCGGUCCGCGGUCCAUUAGCUUGUUGGUGGGGUAAUGGCCCACCAAGGCGACAAUGGGUAGCUGGUCUGAGAGGACGAUCAGCCACACUGGGACUGAGACAUGGUCCAGACUCCUACGGGAGUUAGCAUCCGGGAAUCUUGCACAAUGGGCGCAAGCCUGAUGCAGCGACGCCGCGUGGGUGAUGAAGGUCUGCGGAUCGUAAAGCCCUGUCAGGAGGGACGACACCCGACUGUACCUCCAAAGGAAGCCCCGGCUAACUACGUGCCAGCAGCCGCGGUAAAACGUAGGGGGCUAGCGUUGUCCGGAAUUACUGGGCGUAAAGGGCACGCAGGCGGUCUGUAAAGCGGUGGGUGCAAUCUCGAGGCUCAACCUCGAAACUGCUUGCCGAACUGGCAGACUAGAGCACGGGAGAGGACAGUGGAAUUCCCGGUGUAGCGGUGGAAUGCGUAAAUAUCGGGAGGAACACCAGUGGCGAAGGCUGCUGUCUGGAACGUUGCUGACGCUGAGGUGCGAAAGCUAGGGGAGCGAACGGGAUUAGAUACCCCGGUAGUCCUAGCCGUAAACGAUGCUCACUAGGUGUUGCCGGCAUUAACCCCGGCAGUGCUGUUCUGCUAACGCGCUAAGUGAGCCGCCUGGGGAGUACGGCCGCAAGGCUGAAACUCAAAGGAAUUGACGGGGGCCCGCACA
This 906-nucleotide ribosomal RNA is filed under the name uncultured bacterium. Its description in RNAcentral is "bacterial SSU rRNA". It matches the Rfam family "Bacterial small subunit ribosomal RNA", at positions 27 to 927 of the family's 1533-position model. The record is from RNAcentral.